Molecule: ribosomal RNA, 497 nt
Filed under: uncultured bacterium
Lineage: Bacteria
Description: partial 16S ribosomal RNA
Rfam family: Bacterial small subunit ribosomal RNA
Source: RNAcentral
GAUGAACGCUGGCGGCGUGCCUAAUACAUGCAAGUCGAGCGAACGGACGAGAAGCUUGCUUCUCUGAUGUUAGCGGCGGACGGGUGAAUAACACGUGGAUAACCUACCUAUAAGACUGGGAUAACUUCGGGAAACCGGAGCUAAUACCGGAUAAUAUUUUGAACCGCAUGGUUCAAAAGUGAAAGACGGUAUUGCUGUCACUUAUAGAUGGAUCCGCGCUGCAUUAGCUAGUUGGUAAGGUAACGGCUUACCAAGGCAACGAUGCAUAGCCGACCUGAGAGGGUGAUCGGCCACACUGGAACUGAGACACGGUCCAGACUCCUACGGGAGGCAGCAGUAGGGAAUCUUCCGCAAUGGGCGAAAGCCUGACGGAGCAACGCCGCGUGAGUGAUGAAGGUCUUCGGAUCGUAAAACUCUGUUAUUAGGGAAGAACAUAUGUGUAAGUAACUGUGCACAUCUUGACGGUACCUAAUCAGAAAGCCACGGCUAACUACGUG